This 301-nucleotide ribosomal RNA is filed under the name uncultured bacterium. RNAcentral describes it as "partial 16S ribosomal RNA". It matches the Rfam family "Bacterial small subunit ribosomal RNA", at positions 509 to 809 of the family's 1533-position model. The record is from RNAcentral.
CAGUAGCCGCGGUAAUACGAAGGGUGCAAGCGUUAAUCGGAAUUACUGGGCGUAAAGCGUGCGUAGGCGGUGAGUUAAGUCUGCUGUGAAAUCCCCGGGCUCAACCUGGGAAUGGCAGUGGAUACUGGCUCGCUAGAGUGUGUCAGAGGAUGGUGGAAUUCCCGGUGUAGCGAUGAAAUGCGUAGAGAUCGGGAGGAACAUCAGUGGCGAAGGCGGGUCUCUGGGUAGUAACUGACGCUGAGGAGCGAAAGCGUGGGUAGCGAACAGGAUUAGAUACCCCCGUAGUCCCUGUCUCUUAUAA